This 254-nucleotide ribosomal RNA is filed under the name uncultured bacterium. RNAcentral's name for it is "partial 16S ribosomal RNA". It matches the Rfam family "Bacterial small subunit ribosomal RNA", at positions 524 to 776 of the family's 1533-position model. The record is from RNAcentral.
UACAGAGGUCUCAAGCGUUUGUUCGGAUUCAUUGGGCGUAAAGGGUGCGUAGGUGGCGUCGUAAGUCAGGUGUGAAAUUUCGGAGCUUAACUUCGAAACUGCAUUUGAUACUGCGGUGCUUGAGGACUGGAGAGGAGACUGGAAUUUACGGUGUAGCAGUGAAAUGCGUAGAGAUCGUAAGGAAGACCAGUGGCGAAGGCGGGUCUCUGGACAGUUCCUGACACUGAGGCACGAAGGCCAGGGGAGCAAACGGG